GGGACACGUGGUAUCCUGUCUGAAUAUGGGGGGACCAUCCUCCAAGGCUAAAUACUCCUGACUGACCGAUAGUGAACCAGUACCGUGAGGGAAAGGCGAAAAGAACCCCGGCGAGGGGAGUGAAAAAGAACCUGAAACCGUGUACGUACAAGCAGUGGGAGCACAGAGCAAUCUGUGUGACUGCGUACCUUUUGUAUAAUGGGUCAGCGACUUAUAUUCUGUAGCAAGGUUAACCGAAUAGGGGAGCCGAAGGGAAACCGAGUCUUAACUGGGCGUUAAGUUGCAGGGUAUAGACCCGAAACCCGGUGAUCUAGCCAUGGGCAGGUUGAAGGUUGGGUAACACUAACUGGAGGACCGAACCGACUAAUGUUGAAAAAUUAGCGGAUGACUUGUGGCUGGGGGUGAAAGGCCAAUCAAACCGGGAGAUAGCUGGUUCUCCCCGAAAGCUAUUUAGGUAGCGCCUCGUGAAUUCAUCUCCGGGGGUAGAGCACUGUUUCGGCAAGGGGGUCAUCCCGACUUACCAACCCGAUGCAAACUGCGAAUACCGGAGAAUGUUAUCACGGGAGACACACGGCGGGUGCUAACGUCCGUCGUGAAGAGGGAAACAACCCAGACCGCCAGCUAAGGUCCCAAAGUCAUGGUUAAGUGGGAAACGAUGUGGGAAGGCCCAGACAGCCAGGAUGUUGGCUUAGAAGCAGCCAUCAUUUAAAGAAAGCGUAAUAGCUCACUGGUCGAGUCGGCCUGCGCGGAAGAUGUAACGGGGCUAAACCAUGCACCGAAGCUGCGGCAGCGACGCUGAUGCGUUGUUGGGUAGGGGAGCGUUCUGUAAGCCUGUGAAGGUGUGCUGUGAGGCAUGCUGGAGGUAUCAGAAGUGCGAAUGCUGACAUAAGUAACGAUAAAGCGGGUGAAAAGCCCGCUCGCCGGAAGACCAAGGGUUCCUGUCCAACGUUAAUCGGGGCAGGGUGAGUCGACCCCUAAGGCGAGGCCGAAAGGCGUAGUCGAUGGGAAACAGGUUAAUAUUCCUGUACUUGGUGUUACUGCGAAGGGGGGACGGAGAAGGCUAUGUUGGCCGGGCGACGGUUGUCCCGGUUUAAGCGUGUAGGCUGGUUUUCCAGGCAAAUCCGGAAAAUCAAGGCUGAGGCGUGAUGACGAGGCACUACGGUGCUGAAGCAACAAAUGCCCUGCUUCCAGGAAAAGCCUCUAAGCAUCAGGUAACAUCAAAUCGUACCCCAAACCGACACAGGUGGUCAGGUAGAGAAUACCAAGGCGCUUGAGAGAACUCGGGUGAAGGAACUAGGCAAAAUGGUGCCGUAACUUCGGGAGAAGGCACGCUGAUAUGUAGGUGAAGUCCCUCGCGGAUGGAGCUGAAAUCAGUCGAAGAUACCAGCUGGCUGCAACUGUUUAUUAAAAACACAGCACUGUGCAAACACGAAAGUGGACGUAUACGGUGUGACGCCUGCCCGGUGCCGGAAGGUUAAUUGAUGGGGUCAGCGCAAGCGAAGCUCUUGAUCGAAGCCCCGGUAAACGGCGGCCGUAACUAUAACGGUCCUAAGGUAGCGAAAUUCCUUGUCGGGUAAGUUCCGACCUGCACGAAUGGCGUAAUGAUGGCCAGGCUGUCUCCACCCGAGACUCAGUGAAAUUGAACUCGCUGUGAAGAUGCAGUGUACCCGCGGCAAGACGGAAAGACCCCGUGAACCUUUACUAUAGCUUGACACUGAACAUUGAGCCUUGAUGUGUAGGAUAGGUGGGAGGCUUUGAAGUGUGGACGCCAGUCUGCAUGGAGCCGACCUUGAAAUACCACCCUUUAAUGUUUGAUGUUCUAACGUUGACCCGUGAUCCGGGUUGCGGACAGUGUCUGGUGGGUAGUUUGACUGGGGCGGUCUCCUCCUAAAGAGUAACGGAGGAGCACGAAGGUUGGCUAAUCCUGGUCGGACAUCAGGAGGUUAGUGCAAUGGCAUAAGCCAGCUUGACUGCGAGCGUGACGGCGCGAGCAGGUGCGAAAGCAGGUCAUAGUGAUCCGGUGGUUCUGAAUGGAAGGGCCAUCGCUCAACGGAUAAAAGGUACUCCGGGGAUAACAGGCUGAUACCGCCCAAGAGUUCAUAUCGACGGCGGUGUUUGGCACCUCGAUGUCGGCUCAUCACAUCCUGGGGCUGAAGUAGGUCCCAAGGGUAUGGCUGUUCGCCAUUUAAAGUGGUACGCGAGCUGGGUUUAGAACGUCGUGAGACAGUUCGGUCCCUA
Molecule: ribosomal RNA, 2238 nt
Filed under: Escherichia coli
Lineage: Bacteria; Pseudomonadati; Pseudomonadota; Gammaproteobacteria; Enterobacterales; Enterobacteriaceae
Description: partial 23S ribosomal RNA
Rfam family: Bacterial large subunit ribosomal RNA
Source: RNAcentral